RNAcentral lists this ribosomal RNA (1442 nucleotides) under uncultured organism. RNAcentral describes it as "SSU rRNA". It matches the Rfam family "Bacterial small subunit ribosomal RNA". The record is from RNAcentral.
ACGCUAGCUACAGGCUUAACACAUGCAAGUCGAGGGGCAUCAGGAAGAAAGCUUGCUUUCUUUGCUGGCGACCGGCGCACGGGUGAGUAACACGUAUCCAACCUGCCCUUUACUCGGGGAUAGCCUUUCGAAAGAAAGAUUAAUACCCGAUAGCAUAAUGAUUCCGCAUGGUUUCAUUAUUAAAGGAUUCCGGUAAAGGAUGGGGAUGCGUUCCAUUAGGUUGUUGGUGAGGUAACGGCUCACCAAGCCUUCGAUGGAUAGGGGUUCUGAGAGGAAGGUCCCCCACAUUGGAACUGAGACACGGUCCAAACUCCUACGGGAGGCAGCAGUGAGGAAUAUUGGCCAAUGGGCGGUAGCCUGAACCAGCCAAGUAGCGUGAAGGAUGAAGGCUCUAUGGGUCGUAAACUUCUUUUAUAUAAGAAUAAAGUGCAGUAUGUAUACUGUUUUGUAUGUAUUAUAUGAAUAAGGAUCGGCUAACUCCGUGCCAGCAGCCGCGGUAAUACGGAGGAUCCGAGCGUUAUCCGGAUUUAUUGGGUUUAAAGGGAGCGUAGGUGGACUGGUAAGUCAGUUGUGAAAGUUUGUGGCUCAACCGUAAAAUUGCAGUUGAUACUGUCAGUCUUGAGUACAGUAGAGGUGGGCGGAAUUCGUGGUGUAGCGGUGAAAUGCUUAGAUAUCACGAAGAACUCCGAUUGCGAAGGCAGCUCACUGGACUGCAACUGACACUGAUGCUCGAAAGUGUGGGUAUCAAACAGGAUUAGAUACCCUGGUAGUCCACACAGUAAACGAUGAAUACUCGCUGUUUGCGAUAUACAGUAAGCGGCCAAGCGAAAGCAUUAAGUAUUCCACCUGGGGAGUACGCCGGCAACGGUGAAACUCAAAGGAAUUGACGGGGGCCCGCACAAGCGGAGGAACAUGUGGUUUAAUUCGAUGAUACGCGAGGAACCUUACCCGGGCUUAAAUUGCAGUGGAAUGAUGUGGAAACAUGUCAGUGAGCAAUCACCGCUGUGAAGGUGCUGCAUGGUUGUCGUCAGCUCGUGCCGUGAGGUGUCGGCUUAAGUGCCAUAACGAGCGCAACCCUUAUCUUCAGUUACUAACAGGUCAUGCUGAGGACUCUGGAGAGACUGCCGUCGUAAGAUGUGAGGAAGGUGGGGAUGACGUCAAAUCAGCACGGCCCUUACGUCCGGGGCUACACACGUGUUACAAUGGGGGGUACAGAAGGCAGCUAGCGGGUGACCGUAUGCUAAUCCCAAAAUCCUCUCUCAGUUCGGAUCGAAGUCUGCAACCCGACUUCGUGAAGCUGGAUUCGCUAGUAAUCGCGCAUCAGCCACGGCGCGGUGAAUACGUUCCCGGGCCUUGUACACACCGCCCGUCAAGCCAUGGGAGCCGGGGGUACCUGAAGUACGUAACCGCAAGGAUCGUCCUAGGGUAAAACUGGUGACUGG